This is a long non-coding RNA of Physeter macrocephalus (sperm whale), 910 nucleotides long. RefSeq lists it as uncharacterized. The transcript has 3 exons. NCBI's taxonomy places the organism in Eukaryota, Metazoa, Chordata, Mammalia, Artiodactyla, Physeteridae. The record is from RefSeq and is a predicted model, not a curated record.
CACCCAGUACUACUGUUCCUAAGCCUUUCAACAAAAUCCACCUCGACUCACUUGGUAAGGUAUCCUGGUGUUCCAAAUCAGGGCUUCCAGCGCAUGGCUUGACUGCCUUUUCUCGAUAGACGAUAAGCCCUGUCCCUGAACUGGCCACCUUUAUCAACUUGCUUUUACUGCGUCAAGUCAUCUCAACAGCGAGGCAGGUGGAGUCAGAGACUGGGGCCCCUGGUAGCGAAUGCCCAGUUCUUCAUUCUUCUCCUCUUGGGGAACGCAUAGCUGUAAGACUGAACUUGCGAACUUUACACGGACUGCCCCGGAGGCUAAGAGACAGUAUGGGCUGGGACCGCAGUCAUCGUUCCAAAGGUGAGAAACUAAGGCGGAAGAAGUUAUGGUCAUGCAUCUAGCCAGUGAUGGAACAACCUUCUGACCACAAGUUGCCCUCAUCUGGAUACACCUUUCCCUCACCAUGGACAAUGCCACCUUAAGGGAAGCCUAGGGCAAUUCUAGAGAGGUGUGGGUAGCAGUCCAAGGCUGAGGCCUGACUGCAGCACUGCUGAGAGGGAUAGAGACUUCCAGGGCUCAGUGUCUACAGGGUCAUUUGUUUACCAUGUUCUUAAAAUUUCAGCACAGGCAAAAGUGAAUCCAAGACUAUAAUACCUCUUCCUUGUAGAAUGGCUCAGAAACCCACACCAGAUCACGGUUUCCUGUCUUGUGGCUACCAGAUGUGGUCAGUGCUCUAGUGACCAAGUUCACAUCUAAGGUACUUGUCUUUAGAAGACAAUAAGCAGUUAUAACAUGGAAAGAACAAAGUUCAAAUAAAGUCUUAGAGCUAAUAACAGAACAGCCUAAAAAUUACAAAAUCUCCUUUCAUACGUGCUGAUUUCAGGUAAUUGUAUCAAGAUGGAUAAAAGAGAGA